RNAcentral lists this ribosomal RNA (385 nucleotides) under uncultured bacterium. Its description in RNAcentral is "bacterial SSU rRNA". It matches the Rfam family "Bacterial small subunit ribosomal RNA", at positions 29 to 443 of the family's 1533-position model. The record is from RNAcentral.
AACGAACGCUGGCGGCAGGCCUCAAACAUGCAAGUCGAGCGCCCAGCAAUGGGAGCGGCGGACGGGUGAGUAUCGCGUGGGAAUGUACCUAGUGGUUUGGAACAACUCAUGGAAACGUGAGCUAAUACCGGAUAAGCCCGUAAGGGGAAAGAUUUAUCGCCAUUAGAUCAGCCCGCGUAAGAUUAGCUAGUUGGUAGGGUAAUGGCCUACCAAGGCGACGAUCUUUAGCUGUUCUGAGAGGAAGAUCAGCCACACUGGGACUGAGACACGGCCCAGACUCCUACGGGAGGCAGCAGUUGGGAAUCUUGGACAAUGGGCGCAAGCCUGAUCCAGCCAUGCCGCGUGAGUGAUGAAGGCCUUAGGGUUGUAAAGCUCUUUUACCCGG